UAUAGCACUUGCAUUGGACUUCAGGUGAGGAUCUCUAUUUCUUCACUAUUAUUUCUUGGAAAAACAAAAUGCACACUGAGAACAAGAUAUCCGUUAUUGCUUCUUGAUCACUUAAAUGUGAUAUAUCUUACUUUUGCCUAUCGUAUUAUAUUUUGAUUCUUGAAUUGUUGAAAAUAUUGAUUUAUUCAGAAUCGUAUCUUCUUCCUCGAACUAUUCAAAUAAGUUCUCAUCUUGAUUCGAGACUUAUUUCAAUAAUUUAUUAUCCCGAUUCUUUGACUACUCAAUCGAGCUAUUUUAUCGAUUCUUUAUCAAUUGUGAAUCGUUUCACAUAUUGACUUGUAUACUAGUUGGAACCACUUCUAUUCUACAGUGGUUCAAUAAACGUAAAUCGUUCUUUUCCCGACUCUUGGACCAUUUAGGAUUAUUCUGUUUAUCCAUUAAAUCAUUCGUUUCGU
Molecule: long non-coding RNA, 455 nt
Filed under: Erythranthe guttata (spotted monkey flower)
Lineage: Eukaryota; Viridiplantae; Streptophyta; Magnoliopsida; Lamiales; Phrymaceae
Description: long non-coding RNA (EGUT_LNC000763)
Source: RNAcentral